UGUUCCCUACGGGGGGCAGCAGUGGGGAAUAUUGCACAAUGGGGGGAACCCUGAUGCAGCGACGCCGCGUGAGUGAAGAAGUAUUUCGGUAUGUAAAGCUCUAUCAGCAGGAAAGAUAAUGACGGUACCUGACUAAGAAGCCCCGGCUAACUCCGUGCCAGCAGCCGCGGUAAUACGGAGGAUGCGAGCGUUAUCCGGAUUUAUUGGGUUUAAAGGGUGCGCAGGCGGUCUGUUAAGUCAGCGGUCAAAGCCCGGGGCUCAACCCCGGCCCGCCGUUGAAACUGGCAGUCUCGAGUUGGAGGGAA
This 305-nucleotide ribosomal RNA is filed under the name uncultured bacterium. RNAcentral describes it as "bacterial SSU rRNA". It matches the Rfam family "Bacterial small subunit ribosomal RNA", at positions 333 to 656 of the family's 1533-position model. The record is from RNAcentral.